AAUGCAAGCCGAUCUAUCGCUUGCUGAUUCAUUUAUAUUGACUUGUUCAAUGGUAAAGGUAAGCAGCAAGAGGAAAGUCCGGGCAACACAGGGCAUCUCGCUUCCUAACGGGAAGAGGUUUAGGAUUGAAAACCUAAAUUAUGGAAAGUGCCGCAGAAAAUACACCGCCGAUGGCUUAGGCACAGGUAAGGUUGAAAUCGUGAGGUAAGAGCUCACGAAUACUCCGGGCGACCGGAGCAUUGGUAAACCCCGGGAGUUGAAAGACCAAAUAGGCUAACGCAUGUAGGGCUGCCCGUCCGAUGUUAGUGGGUAGGUCGUUAGAGAUAAAUGGCAACAUUUAUAGUAGAUUAAUGAUAGAUACUCCAGAAAUGGAAUACAGAACCCGGCUUACAGGCUUGCAUUUUUU
Molecule: RNase P RNA, 406 nt
Filed under: Pedobacter sp. CAN_A7
Lineage: Bacteria; Pseudomonadati; Bacteroidota; Sphingobacteriia; Sphingobacteriales; Sphingobacteriaceae
Description: RNase P class A
Rfam family: Bacterial RNase P class A
About the family: Ribonuclease P (RNase P) is a ubiquitous endoribonuclease, found in archaea, bacteria and eukarya as well as chloroplasts and mitochondria. Its best characterised activity is the generation of mature 5'-ends of tRNAs by cleaving the 5'-leader elements of precursor-tRNAs.
Source: RNAcentral